This 524-nucleotide ribosomal RNA is filed under the name uncultured bacterium. RNAcentral describes it as "bacterial SSU rRNA". It matches the Rfam family "Bacterial small subunit ribosomal RNA", at positions 38 to 546 of the family's 1533-position model. The record is from RNAcentral.
GGCGGCGUGCCUAACACAUGCAAGUCGAGCGGGGUUACUGCUGUAGCAAUACAGUGUGUGCCCAGCGGCAGACGGGUGAGUAACACGUAGACAACUUUCCUUUUAGAGGGGGAUAGCCCGCCGAAAGGCGGGGUAAUACCGCGUAAGAUCCUUGAUUGACAUCGGUCGAGGAUGAAACAUCCGCAAGGAUGGCUAAAAGAAAGGUCUGCGGCCUAUCAGCUAGUUGGUGAGGUAACGGCUCACCAAGGCUACGACGGGUAACCGGCCUGAAAGGGCGAACGGUCACACUGACACUGAGACACGGGUCAGACACCUACGGGUGGCAGCAGUGAGGAAUUUUGGACAAUGGGGGAAACCCUGAUCCAGCGACGCCGCGUGGAGGACGAAGGUCUUCGGAUUGUAAACUCCUUUUAUUCGGGAAUAAGAAAUCUUCAGAAAUGGAGAGAGUGAAUGUNCCGGAUGAAUAAGCCACGGCUAACUUCGUGCCAGCAGCCGCGGUAAUACGAAGGUGGCAAGCGCUACUC